Molecule: ribosomal RNA, 432 nt
Filed under: uncultured bacterium
Lineage: Bacteria
Description: partial 16S ribosomal RNA
Rfam family: Bacterial small subunit ribosomal RNA
Source: RNAcentral
AACGAACGCUGGCGGCAGGCCUAACACAUGCAAGUCGAGCGAGACCUUCGGGUCUAGCGGCGGACGGGUGAGUAACGCGUGGGAACGUGCCCUUUUCUACGGAAUAGCCUCGGGAAACUGAGCGUAAUACCGUAUACGCCCUUUGGGGGAAAGAUUUAUCGGAGAAGGAUCGGCCCGCGUUGGAUUAGGUAGUUGGUGGGGUAAUGGCCUACCAAGCCUACGAUCCAUAGCUGGUUUGAGAGGAUGAUCAGCCACACUGGGACUGAGACACGGCCCAGACUCCUACGGGAGGCAGCAGUGGGGAAUCUUAGACAAUGGGGGCAACCCUGAUCUAGCCAGGCCGCGUGAGUGAUGAAGGCCUUAGGGUUGUAAAGCUCUUUCAGCUGGGAAGAUAAUGACGGUACCAGCAGAAGAAGCCCCGGCUAACUCCGU